GAAGCUGGAAUCGCUAGUAAUCGCAGAUCAGAAUGCUGCGGUGAAUACGUUCCCGGGUCUUGUACACACCGCCCGUCACACCAUGGGGAGUUGGAAAAUGCCCGAAGCCAGUGACCCAACCGUAAGGAGGGAGCUGUCGAAGGUGGAGCCGAUGACUGGGGUGAAGUCGUAACAAGGUAGC
This 181-nucleotide ribosomal RNA is filed under the name uncultured bacterium. RNAcentral describes it as "partial 16S ribosomal RNA". It matches the Rfam family "Bacterial small subunit ribosomal RNA", at positions 1322 to 1500 of the family's 1533-position model. The record is from RNAcentral.